GAGGGCAUACCUCAGUGGUAGGGUUCAUGCUUAGCAUGCACAAGAUCUUGGGUUCAAUCCCCAAUACCUCCA
Molecule: transfer RNA, 72 nt
Filed under: Camelus bactrianus (Bactrian camel)
Lineage: Eukaryota; Metazoa; Chordata; Mammalia; Artiodactyla; Camelidae
Also listed under: 2 other names
Rfam family: tRNA
About the family: Transfer RNA (tRNA) molecules are approximately 80 nucleotides in length. Their secondary structure includes four short double-helical elements and three loops (D, anti-codon, and T loops).
Source: Rfam by way of RNAcentral